Molecule: long non-coding RNA, 425 nt
Filed under: Homo sapiens (human)
Lineage: Eukaryota; Metazoa; Chordata; Mammalia; Primates; Hominidae
Description: HSALNT0330817
Source: RNAcentral
UCCAACAACCCCCAAACCCAGUCCUCACCUCCCACAUGCUUUUCAUCACCCGCUCUCACAUCCCAUCUGGGGCCUCUGCUUCCAUCCUACCAUUUCGCAAGCCUGGCCAACUCAAGCUCCGUGUGCUGCACCUAGAGCAGCCCAUCUCUGUGUCAGGAGAACUGCAAUCCAAGCAAAUGUGGUGGGUGUGAAGCUUUCAAGAAGUUGGGUCAAGAACAAGGACUGAAAGAGGAGCAUCAAUUUCCUACUCCAUGUGAGGAGGACAAGGAUGAAGACCUUUAUGGUGAUCCAUUUCCAUUUAAUGAAUUGCAGAGAAAAUGUCAAGUUCAUCAGCUGAAACGAAAACUCCCACUGUCCAGGCUAAGAGACCAGGGUCAGGGAUGGGAUCCCAAACUUUGAGGUGGAAGAUGGAGAAAGGGUGGGGG